UGAUCAUGGCUCAGAUUGAACGCUGGCGGCAGGCCUAACACAUGCAAGUCGAGCAGUAACAGGGGAAGCUUGCUUCUCGCUGACGAGCGGCGGACGGGUGAGUAAUGUAUGGGGAUCUGCCCGAUAGAGGGGGAUAACUACUGGAAACGGUGGCUAAUACCGCAUAAUCUCUAAGGAGCAAAGCAGGGGAACUUCGGUCCUUGCGCUAUCGGAUGAACCCAUAUGGGAUUAGCUAGUAGGUGGGGUAAUGGCUCACCUAGGCGACGAUCCCUAGCUGGUCUGAGAGGAUGAUCAGCCACACUGGGACUGAGACACGGCCCAGACUCCUACGGGAGGCAGCAGUGGGGAAUAUUGCACAAUGGGCGCAAGCCUGAUGCAGCCAUGCCGCGUGUAUGAAGAAGGCCCUAGGGUUGUAAAGUACUUUCAGUCGGGAGGAAGGCGUUGAUGCUAAUAUCAUCAACGAUUGACGUUACCGACAGAAGAAGCACCGGCUAACUCCGUGCCAGCAGCCGCGGUAAUACGGAGGGUGCCAGCGUUAAUCGGAAUUACUGGGCGUAAAGCGCACGCAGGCGGUUGAUUAAGUUAGAUGUG
This 591-nucleotide ribosomal RNA is filed under the name uncultured bacterium. Its description in RNAcentral is "bacterial SSU rRNA". It matches the Rfam family "Bacterial small subunit ribosomal RNA", at positions 14 to 596 of the family's 1533-position model. The record is from RNAcentral.